UUUUUUUUUUUUGUACAUCUCAUUACAAAAUAUAAAUAAAAAAUUCAAAAUAAACAUACAUUACACUAAACAAAUUUGAAAUUACACAAUGACCCGAAACAGUGCUAAAAAACUCUAAAACAUCAUAGAAUCUGCUGGGAACGUUUCUGCGAAGACAUGGACACCAGGAACAGUGGCGGCGCGUCCUGUGCACGCGCCACUGUCACUGGCGGCGCGUGGUUCACGCGCCGCCGCAGGAAGAAGAACGCAAGGUGGACGAUCUGGAUCAGCUUCUUCACCCCUCCUCUUCCCUACUGCUUGUGAGGAACACCAAUCACCUGCAACCACAAUCAAAAUAACCACAACAGUCGAUUUUAGUUGUUUUUU
This 366-nucleotide long non-coding RNA is filed under the name Populus tremula. Its description in RNAcentral is "long non-coding RNA (PTRE_LNC003009)". The record is from RNAcentral. Lineage: Eukaryota; Viridiplantae; Streptophyta; Magnoliopsida; Malpighiales; Salicaceae.